This 549-nucleotide ribosomal RNA is filed under the name uncultured Glomus. Its description in RNAcentral is "SSU rRNA". It matches the Rfam family "Eukaryotic small subunit ribosomal RNA", at positions 548 to 1098 of the family's 1831-position model. Lineage: Eukaryota; Fungi; Glomeromycota; Glomeromycetes; Glomerales; Glomeraceae. The record is from RNAcentral.
UUGGAGGGCAAGUCUGGUGCCAGCAGCCGCGGUAAUUCCAGCUCCAAUAGCGCAUAUUAAAGUUGUUGCAGUUAAAAAGCUCGUAGUUGAAUUUCGGGGUUAGUAGGUUGGUCAUGCCUCUGGUAUGUACUGGUCUCACUGAUUCCUCCUUCCUGAUGAACCGUAAUGCCAUUAAUUUGGUGUUGCGGGGAAUUUGGACAGUUACUUUGAAAAAAUUAGAGUGGUUAAAGCAAGCUAACGCUUGAAUACAUUAGCAUGGAAUAAUGAAAUAGGACGUUCGAUCCUAUUUUGUUGGUUUCUAGGAUUGACGUAAUGAUUAAUAGGGAUAGUUGGGGGCAUUAGUAUUCAAUUGUCAGAGGUGAAAUUCUUGGAUUUAUUGAAGACUAACUACUGCGAAAGCAUUUGCCAAGGAUGUUUUCAUUAAUCAAGAACGAAAGUUAGGGGGUCGAAGACGAUCAGAUACCGUCGUAGUCUUAACCAUAGACUAUGCCGACUAGGGAUCGGAUGAUGUUAAUUUUUUAAUGGCUCAUUCGGCGCCUUACGGGAAAC